ACGUGAAUGGGUAGCAUGUAUGAGUAACAAAAAUUCCGACCACACAAUCCAUUUUGAAAUCAUUUUUUAGCAACCGGUCAGCACGACUCUCAUGAAUUGAAAGCUAACACAAUCCAUUCCGACCACAUAUUGAAAGCUUUCCCGUUGUGCCGCUUCAUUUGCAAUCUUCCAAUGCUAGAAUGUACGUACGGUGGUGUAUAUUUCGGUUGUAGCGUUAACUGGCUGGCAACUAAUCUGAUUGACCCUGGGAAUGAUGAUCUUGUUUAUCAAUUCGGGAUUAUUUCGCUUGAUCUAGGUACGGAGACGCACACACAGUUGAUGCCCCCUUUGAAUUCGAAGUAGGUGGCAUAUGUAACACCAAGUAUUUGUGUGCUGAGGAACUCCUUUUGUUUUUAUCAUGAUUUCAAUGGAACUGAUUUUGUUAUAUGGAAGAUGACAGAAUUUGGAAAUGACAAGUCUUGGACUCAAUUCCUUAAAUUUAGCUAUCACAAUCUUAGACUGACUUAUUAUCAAUUGAAUUAUCAUUUUAGAUUUGGUCGUAUGCGUUUGAUAUUAAUGCCAUUGCAUCUUUCUGAGGAUGGUGAUACACUCGUAUUCGCAGCAAACAACCUAAAACACCAAGUAAUUAUAUUCUCUAUAACUGGAGAACCAAUAGAGUACUGAAAUCUUCAAUUAACAAUAAGAUAUGUUGGUUCACUAUCAAGGAUUAUGUCGAAAGCCUGGUUUCAACUAGUUGAAUGUAAGUUGUUCUCUAGUGUAAUACUUGUUUGAAUUUAUGUUAAUUCAUGUAUUUGUUUGUUUUCAGCUUGGUUUCGAUUGUGUGGUCAUUUCCUGGCUUUACUUCAAAACUUUGUCAUAGAUAUGCUAAAUCAACCGGCCCAUCCAAAUACCAUGUUUAGAACUCAGUUCUCUUAUGUAUUUUUAAGACUAUAAUGCUUCUGCAAUUCAACAUAUAUUGAAUAUUCUUCUUGGUCUGAUCAAACCAAUUCAAGUGCACCCAUGGCGAUUAUAUGAAGUGAUGAGUAAACAAGAUUUUUGGUGAUUGAGGAAACAAGUAUGAGAUUGUUAUGAUAUGAGGCUUUAGACUAUGAAAUCAGGUGUUACAUGGUGUAUUGCACCCGAGGUAAGAUAUUGGCUCUGACUAUGGAAAGAAAAUUGAUCUUUACCAGCAAGCAAUGUAUCUGGUUGUUGGUGUCUAGGAAGCUGCAGAAAUUGAUGUUGAGCAGAUGGAGCAGAGGAAGCUCCACCAUAUAGUAUCUAGAAACAAAUUGAGAUUUGAAAUUACCAUAUGCCAAAUUUAGAAAUUUGAGCACCAUUACUAUUGUAGUUAUCGUUAAAGCUCCCGCAUACGUAGAGUUCAGGAAGGGAUCCCACCAUUUUUGGUAUAUUGUACGCAGUCUUAUCCUGUUUUUUACACAAGAGAAUGUUUCCAGGACUUGAACCCGUGACCUUUCAAUCAUGUAUGAUUGAGGUUCUGGUUGUAGGCAUUAAACUAUAUUUGGUGGUUAGUUUUUUGAAACUACUAUUAUUGCAUGGUUAUGUUGUUUUCUUUUACUAGUAGAUUACAAAUCCUAGAUGAGCUUAAUCUUGUUCAUAAAA
Molecule: long non-coding RNA, 1599 nt
Organism: Medicago truncatula (barrel medic)
Lineage: Eukaryota; Viridiplantae; Streptophyta; Magnoliopsida; Fabales; Fabaceae
Exons: 2
Source: RefSeq, a predicted model, not a curated record